Non-coding RNA from Nicotiana sylvestris (wood tobacco), 97 nucleotides. Lineage: Eukaryota; Viridiplantae; Streptophyta; Magnoliopsida; Solanales; Solanaceae. The record is from Rfam.
UGGACAGAUUAUUGUAUUCGACUGUAUUCACAGCGUGAAAUAGGGGAUUACACUAUUUUUAAAAUGGAAAGUGAAUCAAUUAACAUAAUAGACUCCU